This is a long non-coding RNA of Plodia interpunctella (Indianmeal moth), 2309 nucleotides long. RefSeq lists it as uncharacterized. The record is from RefSeq and is a predicted model, not a curated record. NCBI's taxonomy places the organism in Eukaryota, Metazoa, Arthropoda, Insecta, Lepidoptera, Pyralidae. The transcript is spliced from 2 exons.
AAAGGUUACUUAAAUGAUUUGUAUAUUUAUAACGUAACAAUACGUCAAUCCAUUAAAAGUUCAGACGAACGCAGCCAUAGACAAAAACAAAGACGUAAGGAAAAUUUUAUCAAUAACUUUUCAUAGUGAUAGCCAAAAUCCCUUGUAUUUAAUAAAUUUACUAAUAUUUUCUAUAAUACACAUUGGACCAUUUGGGGAACAAUAUUAGGGAUUAAUGUUUAUAUGCCUUAUAAUGCAGUGCUUGCAUUGUUAUUGAUAUUAUGACUUAGUGUACAAGUAUUCAUUCAUUUAAAAAAAUACUAUAAUAUACAGAUACAUUUUUCUUCUCGUUUUCUCAAUAAAAAACGAUCAAGGGCGAAUUUAAGGAGAGGAGGCUUAAACUUCUCUGGAUCCUCCCCGACUAUAUACCCUAUAUAAUAAUUAAAAUCGAUCGACGCCUGCGCAAUAAGAUUGGCAGCUAUAGUUGCCAUAUAUCGAGGUAAUCUCAAAUAACUUAACAAGCAAACAACAACAGCUGUACGGAACACGUGAUCAACACUCGCCCCCGCCCGCGACUCCGUUCGUGUGUGUUUCUUAUUGAUACAGAUCCUCCUCCAGUCUGUACGUAUUAGACUUAAACGUGGCCAAGAUAUAAUUGGGACAUUACCAGAUCUAACGAAAAUUUAAACUCAUUAUUGCCAUUUCACUUGAGAAGUAAAAUGUCAAUUGCUUCUGAAGAUAGGCUUUAAUAUAUCCAAAAAAAAUGCUGUAUGUUUACAACUAGUCACCAAUUCAGAUACUUUUUCUAAAUAACUAAAAUGUAUGACAGUAAUGUCAUGAGUCUGAAAGUACACGCAUCAUACAGCUCAUCUUCCAUACGUAAACCAUGACAAAUCCGCUUUUUAUGGUCAGUCUUCAUCAGUAUCAGAUUGGAUAAUGUCCAUACACACAACUCAUGACUCUUUCCAUACAGCGUCAAGAGCAUCACAAGCCUUACUACGGUCAUAGCACACCGCUCCCACCCGGCAUGAUGACGUUCAUUGAGAAGUGAGCUUUAAAACGUUCUCCGUAGAUAUAUUUUACAUUGACAACACGAGCAGUUCGUUGUUGACGUUUGAAAGCUCACUUUUCAAAGAACAUCUUGCCUGGUGGAGUGGUGCAGUAGCGGUGUGCAUUAUAUGACCUUUACUGUCAAGCGUGAGAGUUAGCUUACAACACACAAGUUGCCACGGUGGUAAACGAUAUUAGACCCUCCAUGCUACAACACAAGACACAGAUUACACUGACCCGCGUAUAUACUUAUGCGUGUCGGAAUCACGUUUUCAGUUCCGAUUUUAAAUUGAAAGUUUACAAAGUGAUACCGUUAUGGAAAAAUUUGAAGUAUCGUUACAAUGCAGCCAGUAUUAUUCUUGGAAACAUUAAACGAUAUUUAAUAUUUCCAAGUCGUUGUACUUAUCAAAUAUUAAACGAUAAUUAAUUUUCCGGGAUGAAAGGUACCCUAUGUCCUUCUUCAUACUUCAAACUACAGGUAUGCAAAAUUUCAAGUUUGGUUGAAUAGAUAGAGCGUGAAGAGGUAAUAUUAGUUGGGAUUAUGGAACAAUUAUGAUACUAGGAUGACCGAAUUUGAUCGAAAGUGUUUGUCUAUUUGUUAACGUUUAUCUCAAAAAAGCACACGCUGGCAGUGUAUAGUUAAUUGAGCAAGUGAGAGGUCACGUUAUAAAAAAAUAUUUUACUGAGAUACAUAACAUUUUAAUGAAUUUUAUUAUUAUAUUCUCCACUACAUCAAAAUUGGUAAUCGGUUUGGGAAGUUUAAUAAUGAAUCUCCAGUCGUAUUUAAAACAUGAGACGUUCUCGCGAUCUUUUGAUAAAUAACUUUAUAAAAUACAUACUUAUUACAUAAUCCAUUAUCGAUCUUCCAGUAUCAAAAUUAAAUAUUCUUACAACUGGCUAUAAAAGUUUCAAAAAUCUAUGAUUUGCGGCUAAAAGGGUCUACGAGAAACGACUUCAAAUAAAACUUGCACUAUACAAUACAAUCAUUGUUAUCACAUAGGCAUGUGACAACCAAAUUAAAAAGAAGUAUUUUGACGGCGAUGGUUUUUUAUGCCUGUCACUGGUAACCAAAACUUGAGAGCAAUUCGAAAUUCGUAAGUUCAUUCCUAGUUUUGAAAUUGUUAUAUUUCUGUCCAUUUGACUUGCCAGUAUUAUUAAUAGUCAAUAAAAAGACAUUGAGCAUAAGUAAAAAAAAAACAAAUUCAAACCAGAGUUCAUUCCAUCCUAAAUUAUUUCCAGUCAGUAUCGUCUACAUACAACAGACAAGUCGCCAGUAUAAA